GUUCAUUAAAUGUUUCUCUUU
This 21-nucleotide non-coding RNA is filed under the name Rattus norvegicus (Norway rat). Lineage: Eukaryota; Metazoa; Chordata; Mammalia; Rodentia; Muridae. The record is from RNAcentral.